RNAcentral lists this ribosomal RNA (1863 nucleotides) under Triticum aestivum (bread wheat). RNAcentral describes it as "partial small subunit ribosomal RNA". Lineage: Eukaryota; Viridiplantae; Streptophyta; Magnoliopsida; Poales; Poaceae. The record is from RNAcentral.
AUGCGACCCCGCCUCGUCGACGUCCACCACCGCCUCCCGCACCCGCUGCCUCACACGGCAGGUAACUCAUGCCACGUUCUCGUCGGACCAGGCUAUGGUGCGCUCCGAUGCUCAGCGCGCCAACGAAGGGCUUGCGCAUCGGCCACCGUGUUCGGACGCCACACGGACCGCACCGCGUCCGGCGAGGCAGCGACGACACACCUAGCGUUGGAUGCGUGUGUCAUUGGGCGAACGGAAUGGAUUACCGACGGAAGGAUUCUGAGCGUUGCCGGGCACGGGCCUCCUCCCAGGAGUAGCGGAGCGCAAGUCAGACGGCCAUCUCCUAGUCGAGGGCGCGUGGAUGAGCUCGCGGCUGAUGUAUGUGAGGUGAAGGACUCAGAUCCGUUGGGUACCAUGCCGGAGAGGGCCGAAAAUCGCCAGAGCUUGGCCAUCGACCGCCACUUGCAGCUCCUGCUCCGGCUAGCCCGACGACCCACCGCCCCCCUCCGCCCCUGGCAGCCCUGCGCAUGCACCUCGGCCCUCUGCUGCUCGCAGGCACCCACACGCCUCUGCCCUAGCCUCCUGGACGAACUCCGGCAGCCGUGCCCGGGAUCUCCAGGGAGCACCAAUCUGCUCAUCGCGGGCCACGCUGCCCGGAUCCACCUCCAACACUGCCGUGGACGUCGACCACCGCGCGCCGUCGAGGACCUUCGUCAUGUACUUCGUCGCCGAAGGCCGUCAUGUGAACGACUACACACCGGCCGCUGCCCCGCAAGACCGCCAUUGACAUGGAUCCCGACCAGUACGUGUUCCGGACAAAUGGUGGUGCACGUCCCCUGCAGCUUCGACUUGCCGCACGUGUUCGACACCGUACAUGUGCUCACACUUGGGGAGGCAUCGUGGCGGGAGGUUCCUGAGCACGACGGAUGGUGCAAGUGCGACCUGAGCGCCGGCAUCGUCAGCGUCGAUGGCACUACUUAUUGGGUCUUGAGCUAUGGCGCUAUAGCACUGGUCUUGGCGUUUGAUCUCGAGCAUGAGCGUGUCACCUUCCUCAAGGAGCUACCGGCGCAUAUAGCUAACUACCACCUAACUGAGGUGCAUGGGAGGUUGGGCCUCGUGACCCGUGACCUUUCGAUGUGGAUUCUUGAUAAGGGCCGGAAGUGGACGUGCCGGUACAGUCUCAGGCGGCAGGACCUUCCGGGGCCACGGUUCGUGUGUGGCGAAUACAUCUUGACAAGGAAGAAGGGAUGGAUAUGCGGGCACUAUAGACGGAAAGACAUGUGGUCAUCAAACAAGGCGGUGCCGGUGCGGGUCAGCCACAGGGCUCAGGGGCCGCGGCUCGCCAAGAUAAAGGGCGACUGCAAAAGGGCAUCAGCAGCACAACCCCAAAUUCCCAAAUCUAGCUUGACCGCCAGCCGCCUCUGGGACCAAUCCGCUCGCUUAUCGUCCGCCGACCGUGGCGGAGGUCCAGAUCCGGUGCCUAGCUGGGUGAGUACGGCCAGUGGAGGUGCCGUUCCAGCUCUUGGUCGUCUCGACGCGGUCGGUGCUGCCCCGGCGGGUCUCGCCCUGUUCCAAUCCGCACUUGAGGGUACUCUGCUCCGGCAUUCAGAGUUGCCCCCUACUCAUGUGCGGCUAGCUCGGCCACCCACCGACGCCAGAGAAGAAAACUCGGGUCUUAAGAUUAAUUCCUUCUCUCAAGAGGGUUCUUUGUACAAACCCCAGUGUGACGAGGAACUGAAGCCCAAAGUAGGGAUGAUAUUUGAUGACAUUGGCUCGGUACUAGAAUUUUACAGGACAUAUGCUCACAAUGUCGGAUUCGGUGUACGUCCCGGACAACAAAGGGUCGUCGAUAAUGUGCUUCAGUGGAAGAGCUCUUUUCAGUAA